GAGCCACUUACAGUAGUGAAUGCAUACAUUUCAUAAAUGUUUUAUUUUUUUUUGUACUGGCCCCCCGUGGGAAUCGAACCCACCACCCUGGCGUUGCGCACACCAUGCUCUACCACUGAGCCACAGGGAAGACCGAUUGACUGCAUUUAUUCCAGACACAGGUUAAGAUGAAGAGGGAGGGGGGAACCAGCGAAGAGGGAGAAGAUAAACUGUCUCUGUAGAAUGGCUACCAAGAGAGGGGAGCGAUCCAAGAAGAUCCAUUAAGACGGUGACAAACCUGUGAUUGGUGUUAUAGUUUAAAGAUAAUCGUCUUGUGUUCCUGUGUCAUCUGAAGAAGAUGUGUUUUUCUUCGGGAGAUUCUCAUUGAUUGUGUUGGAGUGUUUGUAUCGUCAGAAAUCUCUCAACAGAGAACUGUGUUCAAUCAAGAAAACCUACUCGUGACUCGUUUAUUCCACCUUUCUGCUUUAGAGUGACACCAAAUUACUUGGUCCGCUCACACUAUAUAUAUUUUUUCAACCUAGUUUAGGUCGAUUUUUAUAGAGGGUUACAUAAAUGAAUAUGUUUUCAAGCUGCACCCAUUGCUUAUGUAAUUAUGUGUCCUUACCAAUCCACAUGCAUGUAUAAGGAAUGACAGAUAUAACUAGGUUUCAUGAUUUAAAAUGCAUGUUAAAUAUAUAACAAUUAUUAAAGUAGAAGAAAGUGAAUAUACUUAAUUUUUUGAAUAUACAUUAUACAUCACAAAUAUUUUAUUUCAAUAUUGUCAUUCAUCUAAGCGUAACUUAUUUGCAUUAGUCGUAUGUGUCUUUGUCACGGUUGUCGAAGGGUAAAGACCAAGAUGCAGCGGGAAAAUAUAUACUCAUCUUCUUUUUAUUUGGUGAAGAAGGGAAACACAAACGUAUACAAAAACACAAACGAACUGGACAGUCUUGUCAGGCACACAGCUAAACAAGCACAAUCUCCCACCAACUAACAGGUGAAAACAGGCGACCUAAGUAUGACUCUCAAUCAGCAACAACGAUGUACAGCAGUUCCUGAUUGAGAGCCACACCAGGCCAACACAGAAAUACAACACUAGACCAGCCCCCUAGAAAUACAAUACAAGAACAUACCCAACAACCCGGAACACCUAAAUCAAACACCCCAUCUUACAUAAAUACAUAUCUAAUAAACCCUGAACCACUUAAAUAAAUACCAUUUCUACAUAGAUAUACCACUAAACCCAGAAACACUCUACACAAAAUAACCC
Molecule: transfer RNA, 1246 nt
Filed under: Salmo salar (Atlantic salmon)
Lineage: Eukaryota; Metazoa; Chordata; Actinopteri; Salmoniformes; Salmonidae
Description: lncRNA (ENSSSAG00000092119.1)
Source: RNAcentral